UACAGAGGGUGCGAGCGUUGUUCGGAAUUAUUGGGCGUAAAGCGCGUGUAGGCGGCCAACUAAGUCGGGUGUGAAAGCCCUCAGCUCAACUGAGGAAGUGCGCCCGAGACUGGAUGGCUUGAGUGCUGGAGAGGGUGGCGGAAUUCCCCAAGUAGAGGUGAAAUUCGUAGAGAUGGGGAGGAACACCCGUGGCUAAGGCGGCUCUCUAGUACGGUACUGACGCUGAGACGCGAAAGCGUGGGGAGCGAACAGG
This 253-nucleotide ribosomal RNA is filed under the name uncultured bacterium. Its description in RNAcentral is "partial 16S ribosomal RNA". It matches the Rfam family "Bacterial small subunit ribosomal RNA", at positions 524 to 776 of the family's 1533-position model. The record is from RNAcentral.